UAGGUCACAGUAUCUGCUUGCAUCAUGCUCAUCUUCAAACACUAGAACUCCCUCUCUGAUAUCUUCCACAAGCACCUGAAACUUUGUGCCGCCUCUUGAAUGUUUAGUUUUGUUGCCAAUUUCCAAUCCUCUCUUUCCUCCUUUAGAAAAUAAUUGCCCAAGUUCACUUUCAACUUCACUGCGACUUCUGCGUGUCUUCAUAGUCCAUAGCUGGUUAUCCCUCUGAGCCAGCACAUAUACAGGUUUUGUAUCUUCUCUCCAUGGAUUGGUCUCUAGCACGUCGUAUCCAAUUGAA
Molecule: unclassified non-coding RNA, 295 nt
Filed under: Hevea brasiliensis (rubber tree)
Lineage: Eukaryota; Viridiplantae; Streptophyta; Magnoliopsida; Malpighiales; Euphorbiaceae
Source: RNAcentral